Homo sapiens (human) is the source of this 72-nucleotide transfer RNA. It matches the Rfam family "tRNA". Rfam says of the family: Transfer RNA (tRNA) molecules are approximately 80 nucleotides in length. NCBI's taxonomy places the organism in Eukaryota, Metazoa, Chordata, Mammalia, Primates, Hominidae. The record is from Rfam.
GGCAGAGUGGUGCAGCGGAAGCGUGCUGGGCCCGUAACCCAGAGGUCAAUGGAUCGAAGCCAUCCUUGGCUA